RNAcentral lists this ribosomal RNA (515 nucleotides) under uncultured bacterium. RNAcentral describes it as "bacterial SSU rRNA". It matches the Rfam family "Bacterial small subunit ribosomal RNA", at positions 8 to 518 of the family's 1533-position model. The record is from RNAcentral.
AGAGUUGAUCAUGGCUCAGGAUGAACGCUAGCGGCAGGCUAACACAUGCAAGUCGAGGGGCAGCGGGAUGUAGCAAUACAUGCCGGCGACCGGCGGAUGGGUGCGUAACGCGUAUGCAACCUACCUUAUACAGGGGAAUAACCUUUCGAAAGGGAGACUAACACCCCAUAGUAUUGAUUUAAGGCAUCUUAGAUUAAUUAAAUAUUUAUAGGUAUAAGAUGGGCAUGCGUAUGAUUAGCUAGUUGGUAAGGUAACGGCUUACCAAGGCGACGAUCAUUAGGGGUUCUGAGAGGAAGGUCCCCCACACUGGUACUGAGACACGGACCAGACUCCUACGGGAGGCAGCAGUGAGGAAUAUUGGUCAAUGGGCGCAAGCCUGAACCAGCCAUGCCGCGUGCAAGGAAGACGGCCUUAUGGGUUGUAAACUGCUUUUACAUAAGACUAACCGUAUAUUUGCGAAUAUACCUGAAUGUAUUAUGAGAAUAAGGAUCGGCUAACUCCGUGCCAGCCGCCGC